Polistes dominula (European paper wasp) is the source of this 763-nucleotide long non-coding RNA. The record is from RefSeq and is a predicted model, not a curated record. Lineage: Eukaryota; Metazoa; Arthropoda; Insecta; Hymenoptera; Vespidae.
UAAAUUCAACCGAGUUCAAUUACUUUAGUUGCGUGUUCGUUUCGAACGAGUUCUUAGGGUUUGACAAGAGUAACUAUACCAACUCGAGAGAGCUUUCCCCUUUAUACAAAAGCGUAUUAAUAAUUUAUUAUAUAAAUAUACCACUGUUCAAUGUAUAUCAACGCCAUUUUAAAAAUCUUCGGCAUUUUAAAAAGAAAAAAGAAAAAAGAAAAUGAAAAAUUGUUACCAAACGUCAGAUUUGACGUUAGAACGAUAUGAUCAAUGUCAGAUAGAUUGAUGAGAGAAAAAGAAAGAGAAAAAGAAGAAAGAGGAUGAAAAAUAACCGGUUUUAACCAGUUGUGUAGUUGUCAUCAUAUUUUCUUUUGAAGACCAAAAACUUGAAAUAUAAUCUUGAGAAUAUUUGACUGCUUCGUAAUGUAGAACGUCAAUACCCCGUCCUACUUUCAAUGACAUUUCUACCAUACCCAUACCCAUAAAACAACCUACAUUCAACAAACUCUCAAACUUCAAAACCUGUUGCUGCUCUCCUCUCAAGAAAAGAAGAAAAAAUCAAGAAAAAUAAUGAUAGCAAGCGUUGAAAAGCACGUAAUUUAAAAAGUGAAACGAAAAGAGCGUGUAGCUCAUGCGUGUGCGUGUAAGACGAUGUCAACGACGUCAAAAAGAAGAAGAAGAAGAAGAAAAAGAAGAAGAAGACAACGAGAUGCAAGGAAGCCUCGGAAUUUCCUCAAUCGAUGACUAUAUUUUAUUUUCUAAAAUAUUUCGA